Molecule: ribosomal RNA, 860 nt
Filed under: uncultured Streptococcus sp.
Lineage: Bacteria; Bacillati; Bacillota; Bacilli; Lactobacillales; Streptococcaceae
Description: bacterial SSU rRNA
Rfam family: Bacterial small subunit ribosomal RNA
Source: RNAcentral
ACGAACGCUGGCGGCGUGCCUAAUACAUGCAAGUAGAACGCUGAAGAGAGGAGCUUGCUCUUCUUGGAUGAGUUGCGAACGGGUGAGUAACGCGUAGGUAACCUGCCUUGUAGCGGGGGAUAACUAUUGGAAACGAUAGCUAAUACCGCAUAACAAUGGAUGACACAUGUCAUUUAUUUGAAAGGGGCAAUUGCUCCACUACAAGAUGGACCUGCGUUGUAUUAGCUAGUAGGUGAGGUAACGGCUCACCUAGGCGACGAUACAUAGCCGACCUGAGAGGGUGAUCGGCCACACUGGGACUGAGACACGGCCCAGACUCCUACGGGAGGCAGCAGUAGGGAAUCUUCGGCAAUGGGGGCAACCCUGACCGAGCAACGCCGCGUGAGUGAAGAAGGUUUUCGGAUCGUAAAGCUCUGUUGUAAGUCAAGAACGAGUGUGAGAGUGGAAAGUUCACACUGUGACGGUAGCUUACCAGAAAGGGACGGCUAACUACGUGCCAGCAGCCGCGGUAAUACGUAGGUCCCGAGCGUUGUCCGGAUUUAUUGGGCGUAAGGCGAGCGCAGGCGGUUUGAUAAGUCUGGAGUUAAAGGCUGUGGCUCAACCAUAGUUCGCUUUGGAAACUGUCAAACUUGAGUGCAGAAGGGGAGAGUGGAAUUCCAUGUGUAGCGGUGAAAUGCGUAGAUAUAUGGAGGAACACCGGUGGCGAAAGCGGCUCUCUGGUCUGUAACUGACGCUGAGGCUCGAAAGCGUGGGGAGCGAACAGGAUUAGAUACCCUGGUAGUCCACGCCGUAAACGAUGAGUGCUAGGUGUUGGAUCCUUUCCGGGAUUCAGUGCCGCAGUAACGCAUAAGCACUCCGCU